AUACGUAGGGGGCGAGCGUUGUCCGGAAUGAUUGGGCGUAAAGGGGGCGUAGGCGGCCCGGUAAGUCUGGAGUGAAAGUCCUGUUUUUAAGAUGGGAAUUGCUUUGGAUACUGUCGGGCUUGAGUGCAGGAGAGGUAAGUGGAAUUCCCAGUGUAGCGGUGAUAUGCGUAGAGAUUGGGAGGAACACCAGUGGCGAAGGCGACUUACUGGACUGUAACUGACGCUGAGGCGCGAAAGUGUGGGGAGCAAACAGGAUUAGAUACCCUGGUAGUCCACACUGUAAACGAUGAAUGCUAGGUGUAGGGGGUAUCGACCCCUUCUGUGCCGCAGUCAACACAAUAAGCAUUCCGCCUGGGGAGUACGGCCGCAAGGUUGAAACUCAAAUGAAUUGACGGGG
This 397-nucleotide ribosomal RNA is filed under the name uncultured bacterium. Its description in RNAcentral is "partial 16S ribosomal RNA". It matches the Rfam family "Bacterial small subunit ribosomal RNA", at positions 523 to 918 of the family's 1533-position model. The record is from RNAcentral.